RNAcentral lists this ribosomal RNA (1008 nucleotides) under Heliconius cydno chioneus. RNAcentral's name for it is "bacterial LSU rRNA". It matches the Rfam family "Bacterial large subunit ribosomal RNA", at positions 1923 to 2925 of the family's 2925-position model. The record is from RNAcentral. Lineage: Eukaryota; Metazoa; Arthropoda; Insecta; Lepidoptera; Nymphalidae.
GUAAACGGCGGCCGUAACUAUAACGGUCCUAAGGUAGCGAAAUUCCUUGUCGGGUAAGUUCCGACCUGCACGAAUGGCGUAAUGAUGGCGGCGCUGUCUCCACCCGAGACUCAGUGAAAUUGAAAUCGCUGUGAAGAUGCAGUGUAUCCGCGGCUAGACGGAAAGACCCCGUGAACCUUUACUGUAGCUUUGCACUGGACUUUGAACCUGUUUGUGUAGGAUAGGUGGGAGGCUUUGAAGCUAAGACGCUAGUUUUAGUGGAGCCAACCUUGAAAUACCACCCUGACAUGUUUGAGGUUCUAACUCUGGCCCGUAAUCCGGGUUGAGGACAGUGUAUGGUGGGCAGUUUGACUGGGGCGGUCUCCUCCUAAAGAGUAACGGAGGAGUACGAAGGUGCGCUCGGCGUGGUCGGAAAUCACGCUAAGAGUAUAAAGGCAAAAGCGCGCUUGACUGCGAGACAGACAAGUCGAGCAGGUACGAAAGUAGGUCUUAGUGAUCCGGUGGUUCUGUAUGGAAGGGCCAUCGCUCAACGGAUAAAAGGUACUCCGGGGAUAACAGGCUGAUACCGCCCAAGAGUUCAUAUCGACGGCGGUGUUUGGCACCUCGAUGUCGGCUCAUCACAUCCUGGGGCUGAAGCCGGUCCCAAGGGUAUGGCUGUUCGCCAUUUAAAGUGGUACGCGAGCUGGGUUUAGAACGUCGUGAGACAGUUCGGUCCCUAUCUGCCGUGGACGUUUGAGAUUUGAGAGGGGCUGCUCCUAGUACGAGAGGACCGGAGUGGACGAACCUCUGGUGUUCCGGUUGUCACGCCAGUGGCAUUGCCGGGUAGCUAUGUUCGGAAGAGAUAACCGCUGAAAGCAUCUAAGCGGGAAACUUGCCUCAAGAUGAGAUCUCACUGGGGAUUUAAUCCCCCUAAAGGGCCGUUGAAGACUACAACGUUGAUAGGUUGGGUGUGUAAGCGUAGUGAUACGUUGAGCUAACCAAUACUAAUUGCCCGAGAGGCUUGACUAU